ACGAACGCUGGCGGCGUGCUUCACCCAUGCAAGUCGCACGGAAAGGCCCUGCUUUUGUGGGGUGCUCGAGUGGCGAACGGGUGAGUAACACGUGAGUAACCUGCCCUUGACUUUGGGAUAACUUCAGGAAACUGGGGCUAAUACCGGAUAGGAGCUCCUGCUGCAUGGUGGGGGUUGGAAAGUUUCGGCGGUUGGGGAUGGACUCGCGGCUUAUCAGCUUGUUGGUGGGGUAGUGGCUUACCAAGGCUUUGACGGGUAGCCGGCCUGAGAGGGUGACCGGCCACAUUGGGACUGAGAUACGGCCCAGACUCCUACGGGAGGCAGCAGUGGGGAAUAUUGCACAAUGGGCGGAAGCCUGAUGCAGCAACGCCGCGUGCGGGAUGACGGCCUUCGGGUUGUAAACCGCUUUCGCCUGUGACGAAGCGUGAGUGACGGUAAUGGGUAAAGAAGCACCGGCUAACUACGU
This 466-nucleotide ribosomal RNA is filed under the name uncultured bacterium. Its description in RNAcentral is "partial 16S ribosomal RNA". It matches the Rfam family "Bacterial small subunit ribosomal RNA", at positions 29 to 506 of the family's 1533-position model. The record is from RNAcentral.